CGGGACGGGUGAGUAAUGUCUGGGAAACGUGCCCCGAUGGAGGGGGAUAACUACUGGAACGGUAGCUAAUACCGCAUAACGUCGCAAGACCAAAGAGGGGGGACUACGGGCCUCUUGCCAUCGGAUGUGCCCAGAUGGGAUUAGCUAGUAGGUGGGGUAACGGCUCACCUAGGCGACGAUCCCUAGCUGGUCUGAGAGGAUGACCAGCCACACUGGAACUGAGACACGGUCCAG
RNAcentral lists this ribosomal RNA (234 nucleotides) under uncultured bacterium. RNAcentral describes it as "partial 16S ribosomal RNA". It matches the Rfam family "Bacterial small subunit ribosomal RNA", at positions 100 to 334 of the family's 1533-position model. The record is from RNAcentral.